AGAAAAAAACGAAGAAAAGACUCGGGAGAAGCAGAGUAAGAGAAGAGGGGGGGGGGGGGGGGGGGUCGCGUCAGCAUGUAGACCCAGACCGCUCUCACUACGUCAUAGCUCAAAGUGAGAAUCGUGGGGGUGAAUGUUGAAGAGGG
Caenorhabditis elegans is the source of this 146-nucleotide non-coding RNA. The record is from Ensembl. Lineage: Eukaryota; Metazoa; Nematoda; Chromadorea; Rhabditida; Rhabditidae.